Molecule: ribosomal RNA, 238 nt
Filed under: uncultured bacterium
Lineage: Bacteria
Description: partial 16S ribosomal RNA
Rfam family: Bacterial small subunit ribosomal RNA
Source: RNAcentral
GGCGAACGGGUGAGUAACACGUGGGUAAUCUGCCUCGAAGUGGGGGGAUAACUAUUGGAAACGAUAGCUAAUACCGCAUAGUCUUUUUUACAUGGGAAUGUAGAUGAGUAAAGCUCCGGUGCUUCGAGAGGAGCCUGCGUCCAAUUAGCUAGUUGGUGGGGUAAAAGCCCACCAAGGCGACGAUUGGUAGCUGGUCUGAGAGGACGAUCAGUCACACGGGAACUGAGACACGGUCCCG